GGCCCGGGAGAGAUUGCCGUUUGGCAGCGCCGAAGGGGACACGCAAAAACUCUCAGGCAAAAGGAUCGGGCCG
RNAcentral lists this non-coding RNA (73 nucleotides) under bovine gut metagenome. RNAcentral describes it as "Glycine riboswitch". It matches the Rfam family "Glycine riboswitch aptamer", at positions 7 to 88 of the family's 94-position model. From Rfam's summary of the family: This family represents the bacterial glycine riboswitch. The record is from RNAcentral.